Molecule: transfer RNA, 64 nt
Filed under: Senotainia albifrons
Lineage: Eukaryota; Metazoa; Arthropoda; Insecta; Diptera; Tachinidae
Description: tRNA-His
Source: RNAcentral
AUCUAAUUAGUUUAAAAAAAAUAUUGAUUUGUGGUGUCAAUGAUGAAUAAUUAUUCAUUAGAUU